This 74-nucleotide transfer RNA is filed under the name Candidatus Pacearchaeota archaeon. RNAcentral's name for it is "tRNA-Met". It matches the Rfam family "tRNA". Rfam says of the family: Transfer RNA (tRNA) molecules are approximately 80 nucleotides in length. Lineage: Archaea; Nanobdellati. The record is from RNAcentral.
GCCUGCAUAGCUCAGUUGGUUAGAGCGCGAGUCUCAUAAGCUCGAGGUCCUGAGUUCAAUCCUCAGUGCAGGCA